This 289-nucleotide long non-coding RNA is filed under the name Elaeis guineensis (African oil palm). RNAcentral's name for it is "long non-coding RNA (EGUI_LNC003994)". The record is from RNAcentral. Lineage: Eukaryota; Viridiplantae; Streptophyta; Magnoliopsida; Arecales; Arecaceae.
GGCCCAUGCCCAUCUUUCUCCUCAUGGGGCCCAAAGGUACUUGAGAUACUGGAAUGCGAGGGAGAAAGGUUGGGGAUGGGAGGUGAGUCAGAUCUUGGACGUUACCUGUGGUGCGUACCGUGGGUGAAGGCAUGGAGUAUCUAGAGACGUGUUGGUGGGAGAAGGUGAAGCUGGAGGGAGAAGCAGGACUAUAGAGAGAGGGCAACACCUUGAGGAUGCUGCCAAGGAGCCAUCGUGUUGAGGGAGACAAGGGGUCUCGAUCUGCUUUGCUUCACAAACGUUACUGUCC